AGUGCCAUGUAUGCGGCUCAACUGUGUAACAGAGGAGAGAUUAGUCCUGCACACAGCUGAAGGCAGUGUCAUUUAGUGAAUCUGGGUCAAGAGCCUCCCAUAAACUAAAGCACAGGGCUGCUGCUCCCAGAGCGCAUCUCUGAGCUCCACCUGCUGCUCAGUGACUGGCGUGCCGCCCGGCACCGCUCUUUCUCUCCUUUGUUUUGUGGUUCCUGCUCCUACAAUUGUAACCGUAAAGCAGAGAUGUGUUCACAGCUCCCUGUGCAGCGAACCUUGCAGAAAUACCCGUUUGUUUGUUCCUCCCGGUGCAAAACAGCUGACAAGCAGCUUUUUGCUGCGUGCUGAGCAGGCAGAACCAUCUGGGCUCGGGUGCUAUGAUCUGCCCUGACAGCAGGAACAGGCAUUACUGGGCUUCCCCUGCCACACACACAUCACCCUCAGUAACGACACAUGCAUAAAAAGUCAGACCCUUCUCUUUCUGCUCUUUCCACUGGCUGCAAGUAAUUUACUUGCCGUGCUGCUGGCACUGGCUGUGCUGUGGGUUUCUUCCCCCCCCCCACUGGCAUUGGGCUGAAAUCCCUGCACGCACAGAAUUUUAAUGCUGCCUUGUGAUUGCGCUUUUGGAAAACCCUACAAAUGCUAUUGCCUCAGAGAACUCAAGAAAAAAUAAGAGUAUCAAGGUAUUUGAUGCCUUUACAUGGACCUAAAGACUUUUCUCAAGUGGUGUUAUUAAAAUUGGAGACUUCUACCCUGUGCCACAUGUCUAUCUUCUGCAGAAGAUAGUUAAUAACAGCCAUCCUUCCAGCUCUCCCAUGUCAAGUGGAAAGUUAUAAAUGGAGAAAUACACUGUGCAGGAGUACUUUUCAUUUCUUUCUUCAUUGUUUUUUAUAUUUCUAAUCCAGAUGCAGAGUCUUUGAAACUGCACAUUUUUUCAGAGACGAUGUCUGGAAGUUUCUGAAAAUGUAGUGUUCAGUAACUGGACACAAGUCUGACUGCUCUCCCUGAGCCUGCAUCUGAACUGUCCUCAAAGCAGCCAAACAGAAAGCUGCCGUCCUGCCCUGUCCCCUAAACCAGUCAGUUGCAAGGUGGGAGGCAUGAGGGCUUUCAAUCCCAAAUCCAGCUCUUCGGGAAACCACAGGUGUCUGAAAUGUGAACAUUGAGCUCUGCCUACACUUGCAUGGUUUGGACCAGAGCAAGUAACCUAUUUGUGCAUUUCUCUGUUGAACACCUACCACAGACAUCGGGUUCUCAGUGCAGCACGUUGCUUCCAAG
Lagopus muta (rock ptarmigan) is the source of this 1272-nucleotide long non-coding RNA. RefSeq lists it as uncharacterized. The record is from RefSeq and is a predicted model, not a curated record. Lineage: Eukaryota; Metazoa; Chordata; Aves; Galliformes; Phasianidae. The transcript is spliced from 3 exons.